This 468-nucleotide ribosomal RNA is filed under the name uncultured bacterium. RNAcentral's name for it is "partial 16S ribosomal RNA". It matches the Rfam family "Bacterial small subunit ribosomal RNA", at positions 28 to 507 of the family's 1533-position model. The record is from RNAcentral.
GACGAACGCUGGCGGCGUGCUUAACACAUGCAAGUCGAACGGAAAGGCCCUGCUUUUGUGGGGUGCUCGAGUGGCGAACGGGUGAGUAACACGUGAGUAACCUGCCCUUGACUUUGGGAUAUCUUCAGGAAACUGGGGCUAAUACCGGAUAGGAGCUCCUGCUGCAUGGUGGGGGUUGGAAAGUUUCGGCGGUUGGGGAUGGACUCGCGGCUUAUCAGCUUGUUGGUGGGGUAGUGGCUUACCAAGGCUUUGACGGGUAGCCGGCCUGAGAGGGUGACCGGCCACAUUGGGACUGCGAUACGGCCCAGACUCCUACGGGAGGCAGCAGUGGGGAAUAUUGCACAAUGGGCGGAAGCCUGAUGCAGCAACGCCGCGUGCGGGAUGACGGCCUUCGGGUUGUAAACCGCUUUCGCCUGUGACGAAGCGUGAGUGACGGUAAUGGGUAAAGAAGCACCGGCUAACUACGUG